UACGAGGGGGGCAAGCGUUGUUCGGAAUUAUUGGGCGUAAAGGGCGCGUAGGCGGUGUCGCAUGUCUGUGGUGAAAUCUCUGGGCUCAACUCAGAGUCUGCCGCGGAAACUGCGGUGCUGGAGUAUCGGAGAGGUGAGUGGAAUUCCCGGUGUAGCGGAGAAAUGCGUAGAUAUCGGGAGGAACACCUGUGGCGAAAGCGGCUCACUGGACGAUAACUGACGCUGAGGCGCGAAAGCUAGGGGAG
Molecule: ribosomal RNA, 245 nt
Filed under: uncultured bacterium
Lineage: Bacteria
Description: partial 16S ribosomal RNA
Rfam family: Bacterial small subunit ribosomal RNA
Source: RNAcentral